CAUAAAAAGGUCAGAUUGCACUUCAGCACAAGAUGAAGGGACCAAAUACGAAAAUUACCCAUUAGGGCAAGAAUGCGCAGAUCCCCUUCCCUCAAACGGCGCCGUUUUACAAUCACCAUAAAAUCUACAAAUUUUGGUUAUUUUUUUGCUGUUUGUUUUCUUUUCUUUUUAAAAACUUAAAAUCACUUUCUUUCUCUGCUAGGGUUUCAACCCAGCUUUAGUGCCGCCGUCAGUCCCUCGCAUCUCCACCAUGGCUCCACCGCGGAUUGUGGCCGGAUUUGUGCAACACAGGGCCUUUUAACCCGGCUUCUCACGUUUUGAGGGCCUAACAUCCUCACUCUCGAAAAAUGGAAAGAAAAUAAUAAAAAAGGGUCUCCCCUCGUCCCUUUAUACUCUGUUCCGGCGACGGAGAAGAGGUCUCCGACACCGAGACCGUGAUACGCCCAAGUGUCAGAGGCAUGGCAGAGGUUGUGAUAGGCCAACGGCGGCGGUGGCUGGUAGCAGGAGGAGCGGCAGAGGCGCGGAAGGCAUGCGAGGAGGCUGGCGGCUGAAGAGAGUUAGGGAGGCUAGGGUUUGCUACUGAAUUUUUUUUAGUUUGUGGACUAUUAGGUUUUUAAAAUUCUGGGCCUGUUGGGUUUAGGGUUAAUUUUGGGUAAUGGGCUGAAUUGAUUUGGGUUGUUCUGGUUUAAUGUAAAUGGACUGUUUAUUAAUUUUGGUUGUGGUAUUAUUGGGCCCCGGGCGAAAAUGGGCCACUACAGUGACUAUUGGGAAAGUUAUUAAAAGUUAUAUUCAUUUAAUUUCAAUUAAACAAACUUACUACUAGUUAUAAAGACAAA
Molecule: long non-coding RNA, 836 nt
Organism: Gossypium raimondii (Peruvian cotton)
Lineage: Eukaryota; Viridiplantae; Streptophyta; Magnoliopsida; Malvales; Malvaceae
Exons: 2
Source: RefSeq, a predicted model, not a curated record